This 451-nucleotide ribosomal RNA is filed under the name uncultured bacterium. RNAcentral's name for it is "bacterial SSU rRNA". It matches the Rfam family "Bacterial small subunit ribosomal RNA", at positions 354 to 796 of the family's 1533-position model. The record is from RNAcentral.
GUGGGGAAUCUUGCGCAAUGGGCGAAAGCCUGACGCAGCGACGCCGUGUGGGUGAUGAAGGCCUUCGGGUCGUAAAGCCCUGUCAGGGGGGACGAAAUCUUGGCGACCUAAUACGUCGUCGACUUGACGGUACCUCCAAAGGAAGCACCGGCUAACUCCGUGCCAGCAGCCGCGGUAAUACGGAGGGUGCGAGCGUUGUUCGGAAUCACUGGGCGUAAAGCGCGUGUAGGCGGCCUUCUAAGUUUGAUGUGAAAGCCCGGGGCUCACCCCCGGAAGUGCAUUGGAUACUGGGAGGCUGGAGUACCGGAGAGGAGGGUGGAAUUCCUGGUGUAGCGGUGAAAUGCGUAGAUAUCAGGAGGAACACCUGCGGCGAAGGCGGCCCUCUGGACGGAUACUGACGCUGAGACGCGAAAGCGUGGGGAGCAAACAGGAUUAGAAACCCCAGUAGUCC